GACGAACGCUGGCGGCGUGCUUAACACAUGCAAGUCGAACGGAAAGGCCCUGCUUUUGUGGGGUUCUCGAGUGGCGAACGGGUGAGUAACACGUGAGUAACCUGCCCUUGACUUUGGGAUAACUUCAGGAAACUGGGGCUAAUACCGGAUAGGAUCUCCUGCUGCAUGGUGGGGGUUGGAAAGUUUCGGCGGUUGGGGAUGGAUUCGCGGCUUAUGAGCUUGUUGGUGGGGUAGUGGCUUACCAAGCCUUUGACGGGUAGCCGGCCUGAGAGGGUGACCGGGCACAUUGGGACUACGAGACGGCGCAGACUCGAACGGGGGGCAGCAGUGGGGAGUAUUGCACAAUGGGCGGAAGUCUGAUGCAGAAACGCCGGGUGCGGGAUGACGGCCUUCUGGGUGUAAACCGCUUUCGCCUGUGACGAAGCGGUAGUGACGGUAAUGGGUAAAGAAGCACCGGCUAACUACGUG
RNAcentral lists this ribosomal RNA (468 nucleotides) under uncultured bacterium. RNAcentral's name for it is "partial 16S ribosomal RNA". It matches the Rfam family "Bacterial small subunit ribosomal RNA", at positions 28 to 507 of the family's 1533-position model. The record is from RNAcentral.